Molecule: ribosomal RNA, 497 nt
Filed under: uncultured bacterium
Lineage: Bacteria
Description: partial 16S ribosomal RNA
Rfam family: Bacterial small subunit ribosomal RNA
Source: RNAcentral
GAUGAACGCUGGCGGCGUGCCUAAUACAUGCAAGUCGAGCGAACAGACGAGGAGCUUGCUCCUCUGACGUUAGCGGCGGACGGGUGAGUAACACGUGGAUAACCUACCUAUAAGACUGGGAUAACUUCGGGAAACCGGAGCUAAUACCGGAUAAUAUAUUGAACCGCAUGGUUCAAUAGUGAAAGACGGUUUUGCUGUCACUUAUAGAUGGAUCCGCGCCGCAUUAGCUAGUUGGUAAGGUAACGGCUUACCAAGGCAACGAUGCGUAGCCGACCUGAGAGGGUGAUCGGCCACACUGGAACUGAGACACGGUCCAGACUCCUACGGGAGGCAGCAGUAGGGAAUCUUCCGCAAUGGGCGAAAGCCUGACGGAGCAACGCCGCGUGAAUGAUGAAGGUCUUCGGAUCGUAAAACUCUGUUAUUAGGGAAGAACAAAUGUGUAAGUAACUAUGCACGUCUUGACGGUACCUAAUCAGAAAGCCACGGCUAACUACGUA